AUCAUAUGUAAACUCCAGAACUCGAUUAUUGAAAGCCAAACAAUUCUUCCACGAAGAGCAAGAAAUGAAACAAAUAUCAAGUAAUAUACAGAGCUCCCUUCCCCUCGAAAUUGCCCUGAAAAUCGCUUCCACUCUUGAGGUAUUGGAUGUGUGUGCAUUGGGUGGUUGCUCUCGAUUUUGGAGGGAGAUAUGCGGGUCGGAUUGCGUGUGGGAAUCUCUUACCAGGGAGAGAUGGCCUUUACUUACUUUUCCCAACAAGUCUUCUUCUUCUUCGGAUCCUGUUACCAAGGGAUGGAGGGAGAUUUACAUAAAGAUGCAUAGAGAGACGGCAGGUAAAGCUACCACUGUGGUUGAGUUUGUGGAGAAUUGUUCUUCGUCUGAGUUGCUCGAGGUUGGGGAUUAUUAUAAAGCAAUUGAAGAUUUAUGCUCGAUGCAGCUUGCAUUUAGAGAUGUCCAAAUGUUUCUUUUCAAACCAACGCUGAAUGUGCUACUUAACUUGGUUGGCUUGCACUACUGCAUUUUCUGCCUUCAAGUGCCGGUUAGGCAUGUCAUGGAUGCACUCCUGAGUUGCAAAAUCUCAGAACGACAAGUUUGUGUGAAAUGGUGGAAGCUUGGCAGAUGGUUUUAUGGCUUCCGCAUGAGAGAUGAAUCUCAUUCUCGUAUGGUAUCUUUGGCAGAUCUUCUAACAAACAAGGGGGAGGAGGUUUUGGGUGUCCUUCGCCGUGGUGCCAUUCAUGAGGUGUUACAUGUUGAGAUCUGCAUUUCAAAUGUGGCAUCUACCCCAUGGUCGAGCUCACAGCAACAAGAUUAGGAAUGGUGCAAUAAUGGGCUUAUGUAUAUAAUGCUUAUUCUCUCUUAUGUUUUAUCUUGCAAUUGCUAAAGAAGGAGGUGCUUUUCCAAGGUGGCAUUUCCUAGCCAUCAUGCAUUUAGAUUUUCUGUUGCUAAUUCCGCAUGUAAUCUCUGACAUUGCAAAAUGAUGUAAAGAAAAGGCUGCUGAAUGCCACCGAGAUUAUAGCGUGUUCAUAAUUUUUAUUGCCUGGAUCCAAAUGAUCGGUGAUAUUUAUCUAAGUUGACAUGUUUGUUUUCCUCUGGCCUGUCUUCUAAGAACUGAAGAUGAAUCCUCA
RNAcentral lists this unclassified non-coding RNA (1124 nucleotides) under Hevea brasiliensis (rubber tree). The record is from RNAcentral. Lineage: Eukaryota; Viridiplantae; Streptophyta; Magnoliopsida; Malpighiales; Euphorbiaceae.